This 292-nucleotide ribosomal RNA is filed under the name uncultured bacterium. RNAcentral's name for it is "partial 16S ribosomal RNA". It matches the Rfam family "Bacterial small subunit ribosomal RNA", at positions 505 to 796 of the family's 1533-position model. The record is from RNAcentral.
GUGUCAGCAGCCGCGGUAAUACAGAGGUCCCAAGCGUUGUUCGGAAUUACUGGGCGUAAAGCGUGCGUAGGCGGCGGGGUAAGUCGGGUGUGAAAUCUCAGGGCUCAACCCUGAAAUUGCAUUCGAUACUGCUUCGCUUGAGCUCUGAAGAGGAGGUUGGAAUUUACGGUGUAGCAGUGAAAUGCGUAGAUAUCGUAAGGAAGGCCGGUGGCGAAAGCGAACCUCUGGGCAGCAGCUGACGCUGUGGCACGAAGGCUAGGGGAGCAAACGGGAUUAGAAACCCCAGUAGUCC